UUUUGAUUGCUUGAAGCAAUGUGAAAAACACAUUUCACCGGCUCUGA
This 47-nucleotide small nucleolar RNA is filed under the name Jaculus jaculus (lesser Egyptian jerboa). RNAcentral's name for it is "Small nucleolar RNA SNORD102 (ENSJJAG00000009368.1)". It matches the Rfam family "Small nucleolar RNA SNORD102", at positions 21 to 67 of the family's 72-position model. Rfam says of the family: snoRNA U102 is a member of the C/D class of snoRNA which contain the C (UGAUGA) and D (CUGA) box motifs. It is found within intron 3 of the L21 ribosomal protein gene. The H/ACA box snoRNA ACA27 is found in the same host gene within a different intron. Lineage: Eukaryota; Metazoa; Chordata; Mammalia; Rodentia; Dipodidae. The record is from Rfam by way of RNAcentral.